Molecule: long non-coding RNA, 482 nt
Filed under: Elaeis guineensis (African oil palm)
Lineage: Eukaryota; Viridiplantae; Streptophyta; Magnoliopsida; Arecales; Arecaceae
Description: long non-coding RNA (EGUI_LNC023107)
Source: RNAcentral
GGGACACCACCUGAUUUAUUGUUGUUUGUAGUUUCUUCCUUAUACUCCACUGGAUUCUCAUCGGAUGUUGAUGAUGUGCUCCCGCCAACUGGGCUAAUUGUCUUUAUUAGAUUCCUACAAAAUAAAAAUUAGAUAAUUUGAAAGAUAAAAUACUGGAUUACCUCCUAACAAGCAUUAAGUUUAAGAUCUUCAGCCAGAUCAAGUUAAAGUUCACGGUGGUUCAUAGACCAAUUCAACUAGAUCCAUAGACUCGAUUUGCUCUCCAUCCCUUAUACCAUCUACAUAAUGCUUCAGUCUCUGCCCAUUAAUCUUAAAAGUAUUUUUCUACUUUGGAUUUUUAAGUUCUAUGACUCCGUGGGGAAAAACUUGGAUCAUAAUGAAUGGUCAAUCCCAAUGUGAGUGAAGUUUAUCAGGGAAUAGUCUUAAUCUAGAAUUAAAGAGCCAUACUUUUUGAUUAGGUUCGAAUAUUUUUCUUGAAAUGA